AUGCUCCGCCUCGCCGCCGCGAGAUCGCGGGCCCUCCUCCUGCCCCGGCCCGACGUCGCCGCCCUCUCCACCCCCUCCUCCUCCUACUCCUCCUACGCCCGCGGCGCCCCCUCCCCCUCCUCCUACGCCUACCGCGCGGCCUCCUCCGCGGCCGCCGCCGAGGAGGCCGCGGCCGCUGCGGCUGCGGCGGCGUCCGGCGCUGGCGCGGAGGCGGCCGCCGCGGCGCCGCCUCCCCCCGCGGCCCGCAAGGGCUGGGUCAGGGGCCUGCUCAAGUUCGGCGUCUUCGCGGCCUUUGCCGGAGCCAUCGGCGGCGCCGGCUACGCCACCCACGCCUAUUCGCUGUCCGAGGUUGACAAGAAGACCCUGGAGUUCAGGAAGGAGAUGACCACCCCGAUCCCCGUCGCGGAGGACGCUUCAGAAUUCGAGAAAUUUCGGGCUAGGGCUUACGAAACAGCUAUGAAAGUUCCUGUUGCAGCGAUAGAGCUUUACCUGGAAAUUAGGGCCAGAAUUGAAGAUCAUGUUGUGGGCUUUACUGAACCCGCAUCAGACAAACUGUUGCCAGAUUUACAUCCGGACGACCAGAAUAUCUUCACCCUAGUUGUUGAUCUGACUGACACUCUUGUAUGCAAUGAUUGGCAGCGUGAGAGAGGUUGGAAGACAUUCAAGAGACCAGGAGUUGAGGCUUUUCUGCAACAUAUGGCAACCAUGUAUGAAGUUGUUGUAUAUUCUGAUCAAGUGCAAAUGUAUGUGGACCCUGUGGUUGAAAGGUUGGACUCAACGGGUCAGAUACGCAAAUUAUCAAGGCCUGCAACUAAGUACCAAGAUGGUAAACAUUAUCGGGAUUUGUCAAAGUUGAACAGAAAUCCUGCGCAAGUUCUUUACGUCAGCGCACAUGCUCUUGAAUCCUGCCUGCAACCUGAAAAUUGUGUUACAGUCAAACCCUGGAAACUUGAAACUGAUGACACUGAAUUGCUGGAUCUGAUUCCAUUUCUUGAGUAUCUUGCCAUAGCAAGGCCUUCUGAUAUUCGGGCAGUGCUUGCUUCCUAUCAAGGUCAUGACGUUGCUAAAGAGUUCCGUAAGCGUAGCAAAGAACUGGAGAGGCACAAGCAAGCGAAGCAACGCAAGAGCAUAUGGCGGCGGUGA
This 1143-nucleotide ribosomal RNA is filed under the name Triticum aestivum (bread wheat). RNAcentral's name for it is "partial small subunit ribosomal RNA". Lineage: Eukaryota; Viridiplantae; Streptophyta; Magnoliopsida; Poales; Poaceae. The record is from RNAcentral.